UGUGGUAACAGCCAGGACGUAGCCUUGAC
RNAcentral lists this non-coding RNA (29 nucleotides) under Rattus norvegicus (Norway rat). Lineage: Eukaryota; Metazoa; Chordata; Mammalia; Rodentia; Muridae. The record is from RNAcentral.